AUAUAACACUCCUAAGCUGAUAACUGGUAUCGCAGAACAAAAGAAAUAAAGAACAAAGAAGCAAUUGCCCCACACCACACCACACAAUUCAAAUUCAAAUUUCUUUUGAAGGUCUAAUCGGGUCUGUGUCCACAGACUGAAGUCGAGGGCCCCUCCUUAGCCAUAUAAACAGACGAUUAUUGUAUAUACACAGAUUAGCACACAACUGAAUACCGAAUUAAUCCAUAAAGCAAACUGCUGUCUAAUCGUAUUCCAGUUAACAACUGCACAACAAAACAAUACACAACCGCAGCUGAACGGCUACAAAAAUGUCAUAAAAUUUGAAAUGCACUUGAUUCCCGUCUCCUUCCGUCCCCUGCUACAAAAGAUGACGGAGCGAUUGUUUGCAUUCGGCGUUUAGCUGGGGAAUGAAUACUCUUAAUACAGGAAAAAAGGAGAGGAAAAGGUCGAAGUUUGGAGUACACUUUAAUCUGUUUAUUGUCGAUUUAACAAUAAAAGACACAUCAAUCUUGAGA
Molecule: long non-coding RNA, 515 nt
Organism: Drosophila miranda
Lineage: Eukaryota; Metazoa; Arthropoda; Insecta; Diptera; Drosophilidae
Exons: 2
Source: RefSeq, a predicted model, not a curated record